RNAcentral lists this ribosomal RNA (504 nucleotides) under uncultured bacterium. Its description in RNAcentral is "partial 16S ribosomal RNA". It matches the Rfam family "Bacterial small subunit ribosomal RNA", at positions 30 to 523 of the family's 1533-position model. The record is from RNAcentral.
AUUGAACGCUGGCGGCAGGCCUAACACAUGCAAGUCGAGCGGCAGCGGAAAGUAGCUUGCUACUUUGCCGGCGAGCGGCGGACGGGUGAGUAAUGUCUGGGAAACUGCCUGAUGGAGGGGGAUAACUACUGGAAACGGUAGCUAAUACCGCAUAACGUCGCAAGACCAAAGAGGGGGACCUUCGGGCCUCUUGCCAUCAGAUGUGCCCAGAUGGGAUUAGCUAGUAGGUGGGGUAACGGCUCACCUAGGCGACGAUCCCUAGCUGGUCUGGGAGGAUGACCAGCCACACGGGAACUGAGACACGGUCCACUCCUACGGGAGGCAGCAGUGGGGAAUAUUGCACAAUGGGCGCAAGCCUGAUGCAGCCAUGCCGCGUGUAUGAAGAAGGCCUUCGGGUUGUAAAGUACUUUCAGCGGGGAGGAAGGUGUUGAGGUUAAUAACCUCAGCAAUUGACGUUACCCGCAGAAGAAGCACCGGCUAACUCCGUGCCAGCCGCCGCGGUAA